This 93-nucleotide microRNA precursor is filed under the name Canis lupus familiaris (dog). RNAcentral describes it as "mir-8799 microRNA precursor family". It matches the Rfam family "mir-8799 microRNA precursor family". The record is from Rfam by way of RNAcentral. Lineage: Eukaryota; Metazoa; Chordata; Mammalia; Carnivora; Canidae.
AGGGGGAGCACGGGAUCCUGGGCUGUGUCCCCCGCGCCCUGAGCUCCCGGGCCUGCGCUGCUGGAAUCGGACUCCCGGGCCACGCAGCCCCCU